Molecule: ribosomal RNA, 324 nt
Filed under: uncultured eukaryote
Lineage: Eukaryota
Description: partial 18S ribosomal RNA
Rfam family: Eukaryotic small subunit ribosomal RNA
Source: RNAcentral
CCCUUAGAUGUUCUGGGCCGCACGCGCGCUACACUGAACAGAUCAGCGUGUAUUCCCUUCCUGAGAAGGACGGGUAAACCGCUGAGCCCUGUUCAUGGUAGGGAUCGGGGCUUGCAAUUAUUCCCCGUGAACCAGGAAUUCCCAGUAGGCGCAAGUCAUAAGCUUGCGUCGAUUACGUCCCUGCCCUUUGUACACACCGCCCGUCGCUACUACCGAUUGAACGUUUUAGUGAGGUCCUCGGACUGUUUGCCUGGCGGUUUACCCUGCUUGGCUGGCGGGAAGACGACCAAACUUGAGCGUUUAGAGGAAGUAAAAGUCGUAACA